UUAAAAGGAGUAUUUUAAUACAUCAGCUUUGGGUGUUGGGGAAUAGUGAUAACUACUUUUAAA
This 63-nucleotide transfer RNA is filed under the name Cochlostyla marinduquensis. Its description in RNAcentral is "tRNA-Pro". The record is from RNAcentral. Lineage: Eukaryota; Metazoa; Mollusca; Gastropoda; Stylommatophora; Camaenidae.